UGGAAGCUGUGUAGGUACUAGUCCCAGCAGUCAUGGAGGCAUCCUGCUCUGCCCCAAUCAUUCCAUAACUACUCUCUGGCUGCUCACUUGCCAUGACAACUUGUGAAGGUACUGCAAACUCACACACCUCAUUCUCUCUGUACAUGUUCUGCACAUCCUGUUCUUGCAGUCUGUAUUCCUCACCUGGUCCUGGGUUGCAACUGAACUUGUCAUAAUACAUGUCGUAUCCAAAAAGGUUGAAGUAUUGAUCUAUGUUGUUGGUACAAUUGUUGUCUUCAGAAUCUCUUUCCAGCAGGAGCCAAGAGUCCACCUCCUCUCCCUCUUCCUUGUCACCGUAGACAGUGGUAGCAGCUUCCGCCUCUGCGAAAACAGAGGCUGCUGGAAUGGCAACGGCUGGGAGUGGCAGCACAGGCACUCGUUGGUGCCUCUGAGCAAUUGGGUUAGCAGAGUGCACCUGUGCAUCACAGGUGGUACACAGUGCUGCGGAAUCUGCAUGGCAUUCAAGCACUGCGGCUGCACUCUCACAGGAUACACAGACACGCACACGCUCAUGGGACGAUGCCAAACGAUUAGCAGAAUGAACCUGUGUGUCACAUGAUGCGCAGAGAUAUGCAGCAUCAGCAUGGCAGUAUACUGCGCUUGGUGCUGCAUGACAUCCAUCGCAUGGCCUGGCCCAUGGAUAACUUCUCCUUUUGGCUUCCUGCUCGAAAAGGUCACAAUUGAAAUCACAAUUCAUUAACAUAUAAACCUUGCAACUCGUAGGUGGAGAGGUCCUAGUGAAGAUUGUGGCUAGUAUAUAGUGUGUCUAUUCAUCUGCGUAUGCAUCUCCUCCUGUUCUUCUGUCUCUCAUGGCCUUUGUUCUUCUAUUUGAACUUAAUUGGGAGUGAAUGGGUGGGAGCAGUCAGUGUUGGAAUUUCAGUGUGCAGUACUAAUAGGAGGGUGGCAGCGGAAUCCAGUGAAUGAGAAGUGGCGUACUGGCGUCAUUCGAGGGGGCGAGGAAUGCUGCAUGUGUAUCUUGUGGUUGUCUGUGGAUAUUUGUGUUAUGCUGGUCAAUCCUCAAAUGCUACAUCAUUUUUUUGAUAAGCAUUUGCUGCAAUUUGUCGCACCCAUUAUUUUUUUGAGAAUAAAAGGCUUGGGUAACUGAAUUAGUGUUAAUACAUUUAUAAAAACCCAUUAUUUGGAGACUUAUUAAUUUUUACACAUUAUGUUGAAGUUGAGUUAUGUUCCCAUUAGUUUAUAAACCCAAAGAUAAGAAGAAUUAGAAGGUACUUCGUAUAAGAAAAGCAAACAAAGUGUGGAAGAUGCUCCUUGGUCUCUUUCUGCAUAUCUUUUGCAAAAGAGAAAUGAAGGAAGGGUCUACCGGAUUCCAAAGUUUGAGGUUUUGGGCCAUUCGUUGGCACAUCCUUUAGAUGUUCUACCUUUUGGAACCUUAGCAAGAGGAAGGAAGUGGAGAUACAUGAGAAAGGUUUUAAAGCACCCUGCCAUGUCACUAGAUAGUUUCUUUAGGACUGUAUAUAUCUGCAAAUAUCUUAAGGUGAUGUUCAGUGCAGGAAAUGAAUUUACUGGCAUCUUUUACAUUUUCUUAGAUGGUGUUAUUCAUAUGAAUUUGGUUUUCAAAUCUCUAUCUGAUCUCUUUCAUGACUAAGCUAUCUGUUAUUUAAAAUCCUGUUAACUUCCGCUACUGCAACGCUAGCCUUAAAAUGACUGUUUUUUGUAGGUUGAAGUCUUGGAAUAAAUUGGCUGAGAGACUACCUAUGAUUCAUAGUUUGAUGUUGGGUGGUCGAUACAGUUUAGCUUUACAAAUAGGGUCUUGUUGAUUGUGGGACGCUAAUACUAUGUUUCUAUUUUGAGAUAGGGUGGCCAAGGUGGGUAUUUGCAUAAUCCCUUCAUCAUUGAGUAAAUAACUAUCUUGGGCGUUGUAGCUAAAAAGUCUGUCCACCUGAAGUUCUGAUUUCUAAACAAAGCUCAAGUCUGCCGACAAACUUAUAUGGGACAUACUGGAGAAGCUUACAGAUUUAUACUGUUCAUUUAUACGAACUAUGCUUGUCACAUAUAGUGGCAGUACUGUGAUAAUCUUUGCCUAUAUGUAGUCCGUAUGAAUGCAGCUAAAAGAAACCAGUAACAUUAUUUUUCUGAAUGACAUAACUUUGAACUAAUAUAUGUUUACCAUAACCGUGCCUUCAGUGAUAUUGUAACUUGUAAGUCUAUUCUCUAUUUGCAAUUUAGUGUAUGAAAGAAUAUUAUCAAGUUCUAUUGUCUGUAUAAAUAUAUAGAUAGAUGAUUCUAGAUGUAUGAUAUGUGAAGUGUCAUAUGAUGAACACUCUACUGAGUGUCCUUUUCUCCCCCAAAUGCUUUUGCUGGAUUGGAAUUGGAUUACAACGUGCGAUGUGAUGAUGUGGCUCGCUCCUCUGCUUUGUGUUGCACCCACUUGUUUAUAAGAUUAUAUCAGGGUGAUCUGACCCAUUAUCUACCCUUUGACAGGGGUUCUCCUAGCCUCUUCUGCUCAUAUUACCUCACUUAUGUGGGUGUGAAUGACAUGGCUGCCAAGGAUACAUCACUGCAGAACAUGUCUGAACCAUGGCUAUGAAUUUUAUGAUAGGUGUCAAUAAGUUUAAUGCAUGUCCUUACAAAAUAAUAUUUAGUACCAUGCUACCUUUGAACAGAUUUAGUUCCUUAGUUUUGGCCGUAGGCAAUACUGGACACAAUCCCCAGUAAUUUCAAGAUGACAUCCAGUUACAGCCCUUUUUCUGAGGAAUACCUCUGGCAUCCUUGAUGGUGGUGGCAACAACAUCAGGGUCAUGGAGGACUGCACGCCAUCAACUUUGACGAUACCUACCUUGAUUCCCUCAUAAGAGGUGAGCGCCUCUUGAACUUCGACCAGGAGAUGUGGUUUCACAGAUUCUAGCUUCCACAUUCUGUGGUGGAGAUGGAUAAGAUCACCGACCCUGCUGGUGGAACAUAGUAUGUGGUUGUUUUGUGCUUGUUCUUCUGUUUAGCCUGCUGUAGUUGAUGCAGAUAUUUUUUUCCUUUUUUGACGGAACUUUUACAGAUCUUUGUCACCGAAUUAUGAUGUUAGGUUGCAUGGAGACAGCAGUUCACAUAACAUCUUCAUUGCUCUCUCUCGAAAGAUUUUCUAUGUUCGACAUAUCAAAUUGAAGUAAGUUGACAAGUGUUUUGGAGCUCUGUAUCAAUGUGAAGGCAAUAUGAUGUUGGCAGUCAGGUCGUUGCAAUCCAACAGCAACAGUUUUUACAAAACUAAAACCAAUGAAAGUAGAGUAAAGAAAGUGGUAGGGGGAAAAGAACCAAAACUUGCAGCUACAAAACUAUUGCACCGUCACCUUUAUUGUACAAACAGUUUACAUAAUCUGUUAAUGUAAUAUACCAGCCUAGGUAGCUAGGUUGUGAACUUUUCUGAUCUUUGUACAGUUAAAGUUAAUCUGGGACCUGCUCCACUUCCUGACAGACUGCAUCAGCAGAUGCUAACUUCAUUGUGUUAUUUGCCAUUUUAUGCAGGUUCGUUUCUUCUGUACAGGUCCUGCUGGAAACAACUGACGAUGUUUCUUGCCUUUCAUGGCCUAUCAUGGUGUCAUCUUGGUCCAGAGAGCUCAACUGCCUGUACCAGCAAUGACGAAUCGUCCGUCAGGUCGGAGUAGCAGCGCCCGAAGGUGAACUCGGGCACCUUGAAAUUGUGUGAGUCGCUACGUUGCGAUGCCUCCCACCGCUCUGCGAGCCCAUCGCCUUCGAGCAUCCUGACCACUUCUGACAUCUUAGGCCUGUGACCCGGGAGAUACUGGGUGCACAACAGCGCCACCUGCACCAUCUCCUCUAGCUCAAUGCGGUCGUAACUGCUCCCAAGUCCCUUAUCAACAAGCACGUUGAGAUUCUUCUCCUGAUGCAUCUUUUUCACCUGAGCAGAAGCCAAUGCCACAUUAAGUCCCCAGUCUGUCCAGUGAUCAGCUCGAGCAACAGGAUCCCGAAGCCGAAGACGUCGGUUUUCUCAGAUGACUGGCCCGUGGAGAGGUACUCUGGGGCAAUGUGGCCUACAGUGCCCCUCACGGCUGUGGUGACAUGCGAGUCACGGUGGUCUAGAAGCUUAGCAAGCCCAAAAUCUCCGACAAUUGCUUCACAGAAGUCAUCGAGCAAUAUGUUCGCUGCCUUUACAUCCCUGUGGAUGAUCUUGGGGUCACACUGCUCGUGCAGGCGUGAUGCAACACUUCCAUUUGACAUGCACGGAUAGACCAGUAGCCUCUCGGUGGCAGUCAUGCAGAACCCACAAAGCCUUAGGAGAUUCCGGUGCACCGCCAAGCUGAUCAUCUCGACUUCAGUCUGAAACUGCAACUCCCCGCCAGCGGCAUUUCCAUCUUUCAGCCUCUUCACAGCUACUAUAGUUCCAUCUGGGAGCUUCCCCCGAUAAACAUUUCCAAAACCGCCUUUUCCUAUUAAGUUCUUGCUGCUGAAGUUCUCUGUUGCAGCCUGGAGCUCUCUGAACUGAAACCUCUUCAGGUUUUCAAGAUUGACAUUCUCUAUGUGUUGGUCUGCAAAGAAACCAACGCACUCAGUAAAUGAUUCUAUAUAGUUCCACAAGCAUUCUGCCGUUAUAAAGCUCGACGAGUUAGCCUUUUAUAUUACUUACCAUCAACAUCGAAAAGAAUCUGCCGAUUUUUCCUAUGCCUCCACCAGAACAGCAAUCCCGUAACAAGGAAGAGGACGCUGAUGCAGCCUAUUGUAGAACCAAAUGCAAUUGCAGCUCUGUGGCCCUUAGAUUUCGCUGGAAUUGGAGUACCUUUGGCAAAAAACAGAAGUUAGUACAACAUUUGUCUUACUGAUUUAUAUACCAGUUCAUGACAAAAUCGAUCGGCGGUGCACAGGGUUGAGUAACUGGGCAUACCUUGUGUAUUAUUCAGGCUGUAGGACAUCGGCAUCGGUAAAGUUCCAUAACAAUCUUGUUCCUUGGCUGCUCCACAGAUCAGUGGAUUCCCUACUAUGCUGCAAGAAAAUAAAUUCAAAGUUUCUAUGGUGAAUAUAUUUCCACCUUAGAUGGUACUUUGGUUAAAGUCAGAAUGACACGGGGCUGAAGCCUUACUUGAAUGUCCUCGCCAAAGACCCUGGAACUGGACCGCUCAGAUUAUUAUAGGACAAAUCCCUGAGGUGGAAGUCCCACAGUGAGCAACAUUGAUCCAACACAGUACACAAUCACAUAACAGCAAUAAUACUCACAAGAAGACAAGGUGCGACAAAUUAGCCGAUGAAGCUGGGAAUGCGCCAGACAGUGUAUUGUUGUUGAGCCUCCUAGUACAGUAGAGCAGUGACAAACAAUCAGAACAGCUACUGGCAUCAUGGGUCUUCAGGAGCAGGCCAUGAAUGGGAAACCUCCAUAAUGCCAUUCAAGGCUGGUACAGUAGAAGAGAAGUGCACUCACAAGUAUUGGAGGUUCGUGAGGCGGCUCACGGAGCUGGGGAUUUCGCCAGAUAACUGGUUGCUGGAGAGAUCAAGCGUCUUGAGCCUUGUCAGCCUGCCAAUCUCCGGGAUUCGCCCGUUGAUGUUGUUGUUCUGCAGCAGGCUGUAAACAAAAAGCGGAAGAGCAAAAGGUAAGAUCUCUUGCCUACCCAAAAGAGUAAAAGCAGCAUAUGUAGUGGUGGGUUUGCAAGGCUAAUAAUCAUGGCAAGGAAAACUCACACUAUCUCAAGAUUGGUCAAAUUCGCUAUGCUCGGGGAGAGCAGGCCAGACAGGUUCUGGCUCGGAGCUUCUCUGCCAAAUUGACACAGCCAGGUGACCAUGGUCCAGCUGCAAGGAUCCACGGAGUCUUGGUCCCAGUUCUUGAGCACGCCAUGGGGAUCCUUGAGGCAGUUCUUGAUCAUCAUGAGGGCUUGCACUGCGAGUGCAAACAGAACAGAGAUUGUCACACACGAAUGCAAGAGGAACAAACAGAGGAGGCCCAAUAGCUUGGUGUUCUUGGUCCGGGAGAAGGAUACGGACAAAGCAUCGAGCACCAAUGCAAGAACAGGAAACAAAAUCCAAGAGGGCUCUUGAUUUGAGAGAGGAAUAUUAACUUAACUAACCUUCAUAGUUUACACCCUUGGGGGAGAGGAGACCGUUGGCCGGCGCGGGAGGGAAGGAGAAGAAGAGAAGCAGCACCAAGGAGGAAGCAGCGAGAACCGCCAUUAAUCCGCCAGGGAAAGCAGGGGCUCUAGGACUAGGAGCUUCUUGUGUGUUCAAACAUGGAAGCAAGCAAGGGUGAGGCCAAGGAAAAGAAGCACGCAGCCUUCUCUUCUCGCACACACAAGCAGCCGAGUGGCACUCCAGUUGCAGUGGGCGGGGGAGGGGAGGCCCGCUGAGGUUUUGUCAGUAGCAAAUGACACAAAAGAAGAUGCCUGUGCUCUGGUUUGAAGCAAAGGUACAAAAGGAGGGAACAGACAUGCCUGCCGCCGGGUCCCACGCCUUGGGGUAGAAUAUUUCGAGGGGCAAAGGAGGGGCCUAAAAUUCUUCUUUCCCACCAUUUUCUGCCCCUCCUUGGGGCCUGUGAAAAAAACUCAGGCAGUGGAAAACAGUGACAGCGUGCUGUGAACUUGAGAGUUGAGAGGGUCUAUCUAGCUAGGCUAAUCUCGUGUUAAAAGAUCAGAUUAGCAUUGAUCCCAUCCGAGAAAGACAUGCGCUUUAUCGGAGUGUGGUGUGUGGCUGUCACAGGCCACCACGGCAGACACCUUUGAGGGAUUCUUGCCACGAAAGAAUUCCCCGAGCUGGACAAUUAGCUUGGGACGCGUGUGUGUGGCAAUUCUAUUGGGGGGCGAUAAACAAUGGAUCGAAAGUAUCUUUAGUUGGAGGAAGCCAGGAUAAUGACAGGGAGGAAGCGCCUCUAACACUGACCUGACCUGAAGUGGAGGCACCGGGGGCAAAUGGACAAGGGAAUUUUGGCCAUCACGCAUUGUGGAUGAAGAAUCAGGGAUCGGAUUAAAGAGCACAUAUAAUCCCAGUAGUGACGAGAAAGAUGAACGCAACACGCCCUGCCGCGGUUGGUCGUGUCGCCACAUCAGUUUGUACCAGUUCAGUUGGCAUCAUACUCCUCUAGACUAGAUAAAACUACAUACGUACACUCAAGUGGAGGCAUCCCUGCUUUUUAUUCUGAUGGAUUGUCAGGUAUCAAUUAACACUGAAGGCUGAAUAUGAAAAUCCAUCCCCCAUACUUGGCCAUGUCAUGUCAUGGUACUUGCGGUUCAGGGGCAGGAUAUGCAUAUGCAGAAGAGUGGUGUGUAAUGAGACGGGAGAAGGCGAGACGGCCAUGCUCCUCCCCUCUUUUAGGGCCAGAAAUCAUUGCAGUCUACCUAGCAUGGAAGACGUGACCUCUCUUUCCCAGUGAAAUGAGGUGUGCUUUGCUACCUUUGCCCCCCUACACCUUUUCUCUUUUCCUCCACUGCUUUUCUCCCUUGUGUGUAUGUGUGCAAGUGCUAACCGGCCGUGCAGAUCAGGUAUGAUACGAAGAUGGCAAAAACGUACACGGGACCAUCAAAAGACGAUCUCUGGGUUUAUCCUUACGGACAUGGACACUCGUAUGGCGUUCUCCAGAAAAUGGCAGCAUAAUUAUUGAGUAACCUCAGUUAAACUUGAUGCACUAGCACAACUUAUUAUGCAUGUCUGGUAAAGCUCGAAGCGUGGGGCGUAAAUCAUAAUUGUUGCUGCUUCACUUGCCCAAAUCUGAAUUUCCUUCCUCCUCUGCUCUGCAUGAUUAGCUUCGCGCUUUAUAGAGAUGAGCCUUUGGUAUAUGUUAGUACA
Lolium rigidum is the source of this 7767-nucleotide long non-coding RNA. RefSeq lists it as uncharacterized. Lineage: Eukaryota; Viridiplantae; Streptophyta; Magnoliopsida; Poales; Poaceae. The record is from RefSeq and is a predicted model, not a curated record. The transcript has 5 exons.